UAAAUAAAGCUUUAAUUUAUGAUGAACCU
RNAcentral lists this non-coding RNA (29 nucleotides) under Mus musculus (house mouse). The record is from RNAcentral. Lineage: Eukaryota; Metazoa; Chordata; Mammalia; Rodentia; Muridae.